RNAcentral lists this transfer RNA (59 nucleotides) under Parasaissetia nigra. RNAcentral describes it as "tRNA-Phe". Lineage: Eukaryota; Metazoa; Arthropoda; Insecta; Hemiptera; Coccidae. The record is from RNAcentral.
AAAUUUAAUUAGUUAAAAUUUAUAAUAUUAUUUUGAAAAAAUAAAGUUUUUUAAAUUUU